GAUGAACGCUGGCGGCGUGCCUAAUACAUGCAAGUCGAGCGAACAGACGAGGAGCUUGCUCCCUUGCCGUUAGCGGCGGACGGGUGAGUAACACGUGGAUAACCUACUUCUAAUACUGGGAUAAUUUCGUGAAACCGGAGCCAAUACCGGCUCAUAUAUUGUACCGCAUGGAUCAAUAGUGAAUGACGGCUUUCCCGUCUCUAUUAGAUGGAUUCGCGCUGCAUUAGCUAGUUGGUAAGGUAACGGCUUACCAAGGCGACGAUGCGUAGCCGACCUGAGAGGGUGAUCAGCCACACUGGAACUGAGACACGGUCCAGACUCCUACGGGAGGCAGCAGUGGGGAAUCUUCCGCAAUGGGCGAAAGCCUGACGGAGCAACGCCGCGUGAGUGAUGAAGGUCUUCGGAUCGUAAAGCUCUGUUAUUAGGGAAGAACAAAUGUGUAAGUAACUAUGCACGUCUUGACGGUACCUAAACAGAAAGCCACGGCUAACUUCGUG
RNAcentral lists this ribosomal RNA (497 nucleotides) under uncultured bacterium. RNAcentral describes it as "partial 16S ribosomal RNA". It matches the Rfam family "Bacterial small subunit ribosomal RNA", at positions 28 to 507 of the family's 1533-position model. The record is from RNAcentral.